Molecule: transfer RNA, 86 nt
Filed under: Bacillota bacterium
Lineage: Bacteria; Bacillati; Bacillota
Description: tRNA-Tyr
Rfam family: tRNA
About the family: Transfer RNA (tRNA) molecules are approximately 80 nucleotides in length. Their secondary structure includes four short double-helical elements and three loops (D, anti-codon, and T loops).
Source: RNAcentral
GGAGAGAUGGCCGAGCGGCUAAAGGCGACAGACUGUAAAUCUGUUCCCGGACGGGUACGGUGGUUCGAAUCCACCUCUCUCCACCA